GACAGAGGUGGCGAGCGUUGUUCGGAAUUACUGGGCUUAAAGGGCGAGUAGGCGGUGGGACAAGUCUGAUGUGGAAUCCUAUGGCUUAACCGUAGAACUGCAUUAGAAACUGUUUUACUUGAGUCAGUGAGGGGAGGGCGGAAUUCCUGGUGUAGCGGUGAAAUGCGUAGAUAUCAGGAGGAAGGCCUGUGGCGAAGGCGGCCCUCUGGCACUGUACUGACGCUGAGGCGCGAAAGCGUGGGGAGCAAACAGG
This 253-nucleotide ribosomal RNA is filed under the name uncultured bacterium. RNAcentral describes it as "partial 16S ribosomal RNA". It matches the Rfam family "Bacterial small subunit ribosomal RNA", at positions 524 to 776 of the family's 1533-position model. The record is from RNAcentral.